UACGUAGAGGGCGAGCGUUGUCCGGAAUCAUUGGGCGUAAAGCGCGUGUAGGCGGCCCGGUAAGUCCGCUGUGAAAGUCCAGGGCUCAACCCUGGGAUGCCGGUGGAUACUGUCGGGCUCGAGUCCGGAAGAGGCGAGUGGAAUUCCUGGUGUAGCGGUGAAAUGCGCAGAUAUCAGGAGGAACACCAAUGGCGAAGGCAGCUCGCUGGGACGUGACUGACGCUGAGACGCGAAAGCGUGGGGAGCAAACAGG
This 253-nucleotide ribosomal RNA is filed under the name uncultured bacterium. RNAcentral describes it as "partial 16S ribosomal RNA". It matches the Rfam family "Bacterial small subunit ribosomal RNA", at positions 524 to 776 of the family's 1533-position model. The record is from RNAcentral.